AAAACCGUUCGUAGUCCGGAUUGGAGUCUGCAACUCGACUCCAUGAAGUCGGAAUCGCUAGUAAUCGCGAAUCAGAAUGUCGCGGUGAAUACGUUCCCGGGCCUUGUACACACCGCCCGUCACACCAUGGGAGUUGGCUGCACCAGAAGUAGAUAGUCUAACCUUCGGGAGGACGUUUACCACGGUGUGGUUAAUGACUGGGGUGAAGUCGUAACAAGGUAGCCGUAGGGGAACCUGCGGCUGGAUCACCUCCUUU
RNAcentral lists this ribosomal RNA (256 nucleotides) under Granulosicoccaceae sp. 1_MG-2023. RNAcentral's name for it is "partial 16S ribosomal RNA". It matches the Rfam family "Bacterial small subunit ribosomal RNA", at positions 1278 to 1533 of the family's 1533-position model. Lineage: Bacteria; Pseudomonadati; Pseudomonadota; Gammaproteobacteria; Chromatiales; Granulosicoccaceae. The record is from RNAcentral.